GAGUUUGAUCAUGGCUCAGAACGAACGCUGGCGGCAUGCCUAACACAUGCAAGUCGAACGAGACCUUCGGGUCUAGUGGCGCACGGGUGCGUAACGCGUGGGAACCUGCCUUGAGGUUCGGAAUAACUCAGAGAAAUUUGAGCUAAUACCGGAUAAUGUCUUCGGACCAAAGAUUUAUCGCCUUUAGAUGGGCCCGCGUUGGAUUAGCUAGUUGGUGGGGUAAAGGCCUACCAAGGCGACGAUCCAUAGCUGGUCUGAGAGGAUGAUCAGCCACACUGGGACUGAGACACGGCCCAGACUCCUACGGGAGGCAGCAGUGGGGAAUAUUGGACAAUGGGCGAAAGCCUGAUCCAGCAAUGCCGCGUGAGUGAUGAAGGCCUUAGGGUUGUAAAGCUCUUUUACCCGAGAUGAUAAUGACAGUAUCGGGAGAAUAAGCUCCGGCUAACUCCGUGCCAGCAGCCGCGGUAAUACGGAGG
Molecule: ribosomal RNA, 476 nt
Filed under: uncultured bacterium
Lineage: Bacteria
Description: bacterial SSU rRNA
Rfam family: Bacterial small subunit ribosomal RNA
Source: RNAcentral